GUUUUAAUAGUUUAAAAGGAAAAACAUUGGUCUUGUAAACCAAAAAUAAGAAAGUCCCCCCUUUUGAAACU
RNAcentral lists this transfer RNA (71 nucleotides) under Xiangelilacris zhongdianensis. RNAcentral's name for it is "tRNA-Thr". It matches the Rfam family "tRNA". From Rfam's summary of the family: Transfer RNA (tRNA) molecules are approximately 80 nucleotides in length. Lineage: Eukaryota; Metazoa; Arthropoda; Insecta; Orthoptera; Acrididae. The record is from RNAcentral.